UAAAAUCUUCACAAUGAGUGCUGGCCUUUCUCCAGGAUUCACCCUUCUCUUCUCAUCUGUCUUUUUAAUCACUUCUGAAUUGAUCUAUUUGGACUGACAUUCAGUAGGACUCAAGAAGAACAGUUUUUGGUAGAUAUUGUUCCAGCUUCCCCAAAGGAGUCAGAUUGGCCACUCCAAAUAGAGAGACUUUAUUACCCCCAGGCCCUGCAAACCAGACCAGGCACUCUGAGACUUGUUCCAUUGAAGGUUUCUUCAUUAGCAUGUGUCAUAGACUUCUCUUUCAUUUAUUUAUUUAUUUAAGUACUGGGAAUUGAACCUGGGGGUGCUUUACUACUGCACUACAUUCCCAGCCCUUUUAUUUAUUUAUUUAUUUUACUUUGAGACAGGGUCUUGCUAAGUUGCUUAGGGCCUCACUAAAUUGCUAAGGCUGGCCUUGGACUUGCAAUCAUCCUUCCUCAGCCUCCUGAGUUGCUGGGAUUACAGGUAUGCACCACUGAGCCUGGCACAGACUUCUAUUUAUUUUUUCACUUGUCUGACAAAUAACUGUUGAAUUUGAUAAUCCCACCCCCUGCAAAAAAGAAAAAGAAAUUCCUCACAUUCAUGUCUUUUAAGGACAGUCUAAACCCUUAAGAAUUAUCCCAUAGUUUGCAGUCAAAUUCUUCUCAACAUGUAUAACUGGUGGCAUGUCUGAAGUUUUUCAAUGAAUAUUCAACUGCUCUCUAUUUUGAAUUGUGGAGAUUUGGGUGUGUUAGGAAUAAGAAGCUGACCAUUUAUUAAGUAUUUUCUUUAGUCAUCAUUGCUUUAUCUAUCUAUUGACAAAAUAAAAGUUUUAAAAUUACCUUUUAAUGAGGUGUUAAUUGAGUUAUUUGUUCUAGAGGUCCCGUUGAGUAAUUAGAGGCCAAGAGUGAAUGGAUGGGGGAAGAUAGGAAUCUACUUUCAUAUAUAUGUGGUACAAAUUUUACAUAUUUCUCAUUUUAGAGUUUGUUCAGUUUUCUUUUUCAACCGGUUCUUCUAUACCUUCAUGAAGCCCUCGCAUGUUAACACAUAUAGAUGCCUAAACCAAAUGGACCCUAUUUUCCUGAAGAGUCUAACCAGACUGGUAAAAAAUGAUUGACUGGUUGACCCCAAUCUGGAGACUCACUUUGGAUUAUGGUUCUAACCUGCAAGAAUUAGUCUAAGUGCUCUACGGUGAACUGUGCCCCAGCCCUAGCGUGCCAUGCAUUUCUUAAUUGGGCAUAGAAAAUGGACAGCUCACUUUGCUGCAGUACCAAAGCUGCUGACGCAGAAAUCCUGCCUGUCUAGAAGCAGGUCCAGCCUGGGGAACUUGGCAGAGUGACCUGCAGCUAAGACCAAAGUAAGUGCAAACUCCAAGUGGAAGGCACCAGUAAAUGUGUUAAAACCAAAUUGUGCUUCUGACUGGUGACCAUUUUUUUUUUAAUUUUUCAUAAUGAAAAAUAGCCUCUAAGCCAAUAUGUUUUCAAUUUUUCUGUAAAACACCAGUGUUUAUA
This is a long non-coding RNA of Marmota monax (woodchuck), 1508 nucleotides long. RefSeq lists it as uncharacterized. Lineage: Eukaryota; Metazoa; Chordata; Mammalia; Rodentia; Sciuridae. The transcript is spliced from 3 exons. The record is from RefSeq and is a predicted model, not a curated record.